This 665-nucleotide long non-coding RNA is filed under the name Dasypus novemcinctus (nine-banded armadillo). Its description in RNAcentral is "lncRNA (ENSDNOG00000052372.1)". Lineage: Eukaryota; Metazoa; Chordata; Mammalia; Cingulata; Dasypodidae. The record is from RNAcentral.
UACACGUGUGCGGCCUGGGCGACGGAGAGACCUUCGGGAUCGCGCGUUCUCCUGCGCGCCCUCUACUGGCCCCGGAGGACAGCGUUGACAGCGAGUGGGCGGGGCCAGUGGCGGAGGAAGUGAAGUCACUUCCGGGCUGGGUGUUUGUUUGGACUGGAGAAGGGAGGCGGCGGGCGAAGCGCACGUCGAGCGGGGGAGCGGCGCUGCCUGUGGAGAUCCGCGGAGGCCGACUGGAUUCGUUGGCUGCCGUCCCCGCUGCCGUGCACUGGAUUUGUCGCCAUUCUGGAAGUAGAUGAUCCUUACCCCUCUGGCUUUCAUUUGUCUGACAGUCUCCAGAAAUCUCGUCAGCAAUUGUUACUUCUCUCAGCUGUCUAAGGUAUAAGAUUACUUACCCAGGCUCCAGUUUGUUCUCAGUGGCUUCAGUCAUGAUUUGUUUCCCAAAUAUUGCUUAACUGAAAGUAGUUUCAUUUAUGGUCUUUUAUAGACUCUUUCACUGGGAAUUGUACCAAAGCCACAGGUAGUUUGAUGAGGUGAUAAUGGGCAAAACACUGACCUAGGCCCUGUCAAUAGCAGGUAUUGGACGUUGGCUAAGCACUGUUUGUUUAUAUUUUAUUGAUUGAUUGGCAUCAAACAAGGAGAGAAGGAGUUGCUUAGUGAUUUCCAGG